AUCUCUUCGGAGCAUUUUACGAGGUGCUGCAUGGUUGUCGUCAGCUCGUGCCGUGAGGUGUCGGGUUAAGUCCCAUAACGAGCGCAACCCUACCUUUAGUUGCCAUCAGGUAAUGCUGGGGACUCUAAAGGAACUGCCUACGCAAGUAGUGAGGAAGGCGGGGAUGACGUCAAAUCAGCACGGCCCUUACGUCCAGGGCUACACACGUGCUACAAUGGCCGAUACAGAGGGCAGCUACCUGGUGACAGGAUGCAAAUCUCCAAAGUCGGUCUCAGUUCGGAUCGGAGUCUGCAACCCGACUCCGUGAAGUUGGAUUCGCUAGUAAUCGCGCAUCAGCCAUGGCGCGGUGAAUACGUUCCCGGGCCUU
This 367-nucleotide ribosomal RNA is filed under the name uncultured Sphingobacteriales bacterium. RNAcentral describes it as "bacterial SSU rRNA". It matches the Rfam family "Bacterial small subunit ribosomal RNA", at positions 1013 to 1382 of the family's 1533-position model. The record is from RNAcentral. Lineage: Bacteria; Pseudomonadati; Bacteroidota; Sphingobacteriia; Sphingobacteriales.